UUAAAAACACAUGAAUUUUUUAUUUAUAUUUAGAAAGGAAAUAUAAUCCAACUUCUCACCAUACGACAACAGAUCAUAUUCCUGAAAAGAAAUUUAAAUCUGAAGCUCUUCUAUCCACCCUUACGUCAGAUGCCUCUAAGGAAAAUACACUAGGUUGUCGAAAUAAUAAUUCCACAGCCUCUUCUAACAAUGCCUACAAUGUGAAUUCCUCCCAACCUCUGGGAUCCUAUAACAUUGGCUCAUUAUCUUCAGGAACUGGUGCAGGGGCAAUUACCAUGGCAGCUGCUCAAGCAGUUCAGGCUACAGCUCAGAUGAAGGAGGGACGAAGAACAUCAAGUUUAAAAGCCAGUUAUGAAGCAUUUAAGAAUAAUGACUUUCAGUUGGGAAAAGAAUUUUCAAUGGCCAGGGAAACAGUUGGCUAUUCAUCAUCUUCGGCACUUAUGACAACAUUAACACAGAAUGCCAGUUCAUCAGCAGCCGACUCACGGAGUGGUCGAAAGAGCAAAAACAACAACAAGUCUUCAAGCCAGCAGUCAUCAUCUUCCUCCUCCUCUUCUUCCUUAUCAUCGUGUUCUUCAUCAUCAACUGUUGUACAAGAAAUCUCUCAACAAACAACUGUAGUGCCAGAAUCUGAUUCAAAUAGUCAGGUUGAUUGGACUUACGACCCAAAUGAACCUCGAUACUGCAUUUGUAAUCAG
This 698-nucleotide small RNA is filed under the name Pan troglodytes (chimpanzee). RNAcentral's name for it is "retained intron". The record is from RNAcentral. Lineage: Eukaryota; Metazoa; Chordata; Mammalia; Primates; Hominidae.